This 481-nucleotide ribosomal RNA is filed under the name uncultured bacterium. RNAcentral's name for it is "partial 16S ribosomal RNA". It matches the Rfam family "Bacterial small subunit ribosomal RNA", at positions 28 to 507 of the family's 1533-position model. The record is from RNAcentral.
GAUGAACGCUGGCGGCGUGCCUAACACAUGCAAGUCGAGCGAAGCGCUUAAAUUAGAUUUCUUCGGAAUGACGAUUUUUGUGACUGAGCGGCGGACGGGUGAGUAACGCGUGGGUAACCUGCCUCAUACAGGGGGAUAACAGUUAGAAAUGACUGCUAAUACCGCAUAAGACCCCAGCUUCGCAUGAAGCGGUGGUAAAAACUCCGGUGGUAUGAGAUGGACCCGCGUCUGAUUAGCUAGUUGGUAAGGUAACGGCUUACCAAGGCGACGAUCAGUAGCCGACCUGAGAGGGUGACCGGCCACAUUGGGACUGAGACACGGCCCAGACUCCUACGGGAGGCAGCAGUGGGGAAUAUUGCACAAUGGGGGAAACCCUGAUGCAGCGGCGCCGCGUGAAGGAUGAAGUAUUUCGGUAUGUAAACUUCUAUCAGCAGGGAAGAAAGUGACGGUACCUGACUAAGAAGCCCCGGCUAACUACGUG